CCAUCACCAUCAUCACCCUUGAAGGUCUUUCGGGGCGGUGGCGCAUACCCGGGAGACAAGAUUCUCCCGGUGGUUAAGCAAGUUUAGAAACCCUCGGGAUUAGCUCCCGGGGGUUUUUUUAU
Regulatory RNA element from Vibrio aerogenes CECT 7868, 122 nucleotides. It matches the Rfam family "Histidine operon leader". Rfam says of the family: At least 6 amino acid operons are known to be regulated by attenuation. In each a leader sequence of 150-200 bp is found upstream of the first gene in the operon. This leader sequence can assume two different secondary structures known as the terminator and the anti-terminator structure. The record is from Rfam. NCBI's taxonomy places the organism in Bacteria, Pseudomonadati, Pseudomonadota, Gammaproteobacteria, Vibrionales, Vibrionaceae.